Molecule: ribosomal RNA, 250 nt
Filed under: uncultured Lactobacillus sp.
Lineage: Bacteria; Bacillati; Bacillota; Bacilli; Lactobacillales; Lactobacillaceae
Description: partial 16S ribosomal RNA
Rfam family: Bacterial small subunit ribosomal RNA
Source: RNAcentral
AACACGUAGGCAACCUGCCCUGAAGCGGGGGAUAACAUCUGGAAACAGGUGCUAAUACCGCAUAACAACGAAAACCACAUGGUUUCGUUUCAAAGAUGGUUUCGGCUAUCACUUCAGGAUGGGCCCGCGGUGCAUUAGCUAGUUGGUAAGGUAACGGCUUACCAAGGCGAUGAUGCAUAGCCGAGUUGAGAGACUGAUCGGCCACAAUGGAACUGAGACACGGUCCAUACUCCUACGGGAGGCAGCAGCA